This is a long non-coding RNA of Carya illinoinensis, 1088 nucleotides long. RefSeq lists it as uncharacterized. The record is from RefSeq and is a predicted model, not a curated record. Lineage: Eukaryota; Viridiplantae; Streptophyta; Magnoliopsida; Fagales; Juglandaceae. The transcript is spliced from 2 exons.
UUUCGGUAUUGAAUAGAUAAAAAAAACAGGAAAGACAUCAUGAUGCAGCAGCAAAUUAAUGGUUAAAUGCGGAUGUAACGUUUAAUGUUAUAUCAGUCAUGGGUUAGAGAAAGAAAUAAAAGAGGAGGGCAGAGGCAUGCCCUCUGCUUUCGAGAUCUACGACAUCAGGUUUUUUUUCCCCCUCACCUUCAUUUUUUUUUUUUUUAAUUUUUUUUAUUUGAGAACUUAUUCUUCAAGUCUAUCAAGUCUUCGGGACAGAAGGCUUUUCUCAGAAACUGCAGCACAAAUUUUGUCUUAUCCAGCCAGUCAAUGAAAUUGGUUUCGGUUGCUACAAAUAACAAUAAAAAGGUGUUGUUGCUGCAGUUUAUUUUUCAUAUCAAUUGGAAAAACUCCCAGUCUAACAAGUGUCCAGCAAACUCAUUGUUUUUGUAACUCUCUUUUACAGUUUUAACUUUUAACUUGAUUCAUGCAGUUUUAUUUAGGAUUAGUGAUGCAUUAUUUUCAAGAAGUGCCCCAUCAAUGGAAGCCAUGUAAAAGCGCGAAACAAGGCUCUGAAGUGGGAGCUUAAGAGGCGAAGAAUCGGGGAUUCUCUCAACCAACUAUAUCUUGUAUAGACAUGUUCCAAGCAAUAGCGUCCUUUGCCAUUAACUGGGUAGCCAGGGAGCCAUAAAAGAGGUCCCAUUCUUAGGUAGCUCAGCAUUUCCUUUCCCAACCUUCCCAACAUUUGAAUCAUAAUCAAUGACGAACGUAAAGAGCAGCAUGAACUCAACAGACGUUUUUGUUGGCUCAUAAAUAUAUAGUACAGAUUUUUAAAUUUUGCUGUUGGCCAUUGUUGUCCUCUUUUGUUUUUAUCGAGGCAUAAUUGAAGACACAAGCCCAGUUCCUUCAGACAAUACCUUAUCAUCUCCAGCGAAGGACAAUCUCAUGAAACUGCAACCAACAGAUAAUGAUGAACUUCAGUCCUGUGAUCGACAAAAGUUGAAGAUAUAUGUACACAAUUCUAAAUAUUUUCCAUUAUAAUUGUUAACAUUCAAAUGAUGCAAAACCAUUCAUAUAUAAAAUGCGAACUCUGCCACAAGAUUACAGCA